Molecule: long non-coding RNA, 481 nt
Organism: Daphnia pulex (common water flea)
Lineage: Eukaryota; Metazoa; Arthropoda; Branchiopoda; Diplostraca; Daphniidae
Exons: 4
Source: RefSeq, a predicted model, not a curated record
GUCUGUUCUUUCAUUCGAGAUGGACGCUACUGCGCUUCUCCUGAAUUCGCCCGUGGCAUGGGCUCUUGUUACCGUGUCAACUGCAUAUAUCUUCUUCAGGUAUGUGACGUCGUCCUUUACGUAUUUCUCCGAUCAAGGCAUUCCCGGCCCCAAGCCUUUUCCCCUUGUUGGUAAUAUGUGGGGAAUCUGGAAAGCGAAUUUACCGAAAUAUGAUCAAGAGAUAGUAACAAAAUAUGGCUGAUGAUGUUUCGGUUACUUUGAUGGAUCUCUUCCGAACUUGUGGAUAACAGACGCUGACGUAAUCAAGUCCGUCUUUGUGAAGGAUUUUGGCCACUUUGUCAAUCGCAGAAAUUUCACCUUCAAAAGCAAAGUGGUACGGAAAUUCCUCACUUUGAUGAGAGAUCAGGAUUGGAAGGACGUUCGUUCCUCGAUUACACCAGCAUUCACUACAGGCAAAAUCAAGCGUAUGUAUGUGGUAUGU